Molecule: non-coding RNA, 214 nt
Organism: Anolis sagrei ordinatus
Lineage: Eukaryota; Metazoa; Chordata; Lepidosauria; Squamata; Anolidae
Source: RefSeq, a predicted model, not a curated record
GACUGGGAUGCGCCGCCUGGGAGGAGGCCCUUCCUUCGGUGAAUUCUGGGAGAUGUAGUUCCCUAGCCUCCGCCAAACCCAAGGCUACAUACUAACAUUCGUGGAUAUUCAUACCAUUAUGUGCAAUGGAAUGAUAUGCUCUUGUAUAGGAGCCUCUCAACCACAUCUGAAGGUCUUCUUGAGACCCACCAAUAAUGCAUGUCAUGAUUUUAAU